This is an RNA transcript of Helianthus annuus (common sunflower), 1026 nucleotides long. It is a transcript of the gene named protein phosphatase inhibitor 2, with no coding region annotated. NCBI's taxonomy places the organism in Eukaryota, Viridiplantae, Streptophyta, Magnoliopsida, Asterales, Asteraceae. The record is from RefSeq and is a predicted model, not a curated record. The transcript has 6 exons.
AUAUUCGUGAGAUUUACUGAGGCGAUGAUGAUUGAAUUCACAUUGUGAAUUCACUUUCUUAAAUUGGUAAACAAACAUGGGAUAUUUUUCUCUCCGUGACUGAGGCAAAAUGGUAUAAAAGUAAGGUGAAGCCAAAUCUGUAUCUGGAUUUUCGACCAACAACCGACGUACGUACAGAUCGUCGCAUCGCUUCGCAGCAACGAAAAUUGGCUACUCAACCGCUUCCUGUGCUUCUUAGAAUUCAGAAUGUCUACAAUGGGAGACUCGGGUAGGAGAUCUGUCAAAUGGGAUGAGGCAAAACUAUCAGAAAUUGAAGCAAACAAACCCGUAAGACAGAAAAUUACCGAACCAAAGACUCCAUAUCAUCAUAUGACUGAUGUUGAUGUUUUUUUAGGCAUUAGAUUGGAUGUGGCAAAUCUUGUCUUGAAUAUACCAUAGGAAAAGGGACAGGUCAAAAGGGUUGGAUCUUUAUCUCCUGUACGGAGUCCUUUCGCUGAAAGAGACGAUGAAACUGUGCGGUCCGUGUUCAACGAUAUGGUUUCUUCCGAUAACUCACAGCAACCCUCUGGCUGGACAUCAUCAGAGGAUGAGCCAGAUGCUAUGGAUGAAGACAGUGAAGGCAGGAGCUCAAGUUUCAAGGAGCAGAGACGGGCUCACUAUGACGAAUUCCAUAAAGUAAGAGAACUCAGGCGAAAGGAGUCCUUUGAUGAACCGUGCAACGAUGACGAUGAGAAAUUGAAUGGGGAAUGUGAUACAUCGUCGUCAUUGGCUGUUGGUGUGGAAGAUAUCGACAUUACUGACGCCGAAGAUCUUGUUGAACCUCAACCACAAACAUCUUCAUCUUCUGCCUAAGUUUUAAACUCGCUGGUAAAAUUUUCUUCCUGUUUUAAGUUCCAAACUUUCGUUGUAAACCGUACUUUGUGUUUAUGUUCAUGGUUUUUAUUUGUUUUGCUAGACGAUACAGUUUUGUUCAUCAUGUAUUUCAAGAGCAAGUAAAGUUAGUGUUUUUGUGUGUGGUUUUUUUGA